UGAUGAACGCUAGCUACAGGCUUAACACAUGCAAGUCGAGGGGCAGCAUGGUCUUAGCUUGCUAAGGCUGAUGGCGACCGGCGCACGGGUGAGUAACACGUAUCCAACCUGACGUCUAUUCUUGGACAGCCUUCUGAAAGGAAGAUUAAUACAAGAUGGCAUCAUGAGUCCGCAUGUUCACAUGAUUAAAGGUAUUCCGGUAGACGAUGGGGAUGCGUUCCAUUAGAUAGUAGGCGGGGUAACGGCCCAACUAGUCUUCGAUGGAUAAGGGUACUGAGAGGAAGGUCCCCCACAUAGAAACUGAGACACGGUCCAAAAUCCUACAGGAGGACGCAGUGAGGCAUCAUCUGGUCACUGGGCGAGAGCCUGAACCAGACAAGUAGCGUGAAAGAUGACUGCCCUAUGGGUCGUAAACAUUCUUACAAUAAAGGACUAAACGACGGGCACUCGGAUCCCCGCAAGCAUGUACUUAAUGAAUA
RNAcentral lists this ribosomal RNA (479 nucleotides) under uncultured Bacteroides sp. Its description in RNAcentral is "bacterial SSU rRNA". It matches the Rfam family "Bacterial small subunit ribosomal RNA", at positions 28 to 488 of the family's 1533-position model. The record is from RNAcentral. Lineage: Bacteria; Pseudomonadati; Bacteroidota; Bacteroidia; Bacteroidales; Bacteroidaceae.